UUUUUGUCCCUAGAUAAUCAGUAGCAUUUUAAUUGAAAAGUUUCGUAUACGUAUACGCGUUCUCACUUCUCAGAUGCACAAAUGAAAAAAAAAACCACUACAGCUCCUCCAAAGAACCUGUGAACGCCUCCUCUCUGUCGCACCUCAUCUCUCCAUUACACAUCUUGCUCGAUUUCUUCUCCAUAGCUAAACCCUAGAUUUUGUUUUCUUCCCCAACAAAGCCACCACCAUUAGACAUUUCCUCCCCUGUGAAGCCACGGUCGAAGACCGUCGCACCCAACAGAUGAGAUUUUUUUUGUUCAUCUUUUCUCGCUAUUGAUUUUUUUCCUGCUGUCGAGCCCUCUCCUGACGUCGAUUUAUUUUCCUAGCUUUCAUUCCUCCUGUUGUACAGAUAUGUCGAAACACACGACAUACCGUCCAUGUAAAUGCCACCGACCUCACUCAUCAUCUUUUUGGUUGUGGUUUUUUUCGAUUCUGAUUCAUUUUCAUGUUAAUUUCUUUCGCUUUUUUGGUUGUGUCUAUCUCUUCUCAUUUGACCAUCAAAGUUCAAAUUAAUUCAUUACAGUCUUAACAUCAAAUUCUGUUCCAGUGUUGGCAAGCCUCUGUUAGUGUUGGCAACCCUCUGCUGGUCAGUUGGCCAGUUGGUAGUGAUCUGAUAUGGAAUGAAAAUGUGAAGAUAACAAAUCCCAACUCUUUUCUUCCUGGAGCAUGACAAAAAGGUCAAUGCUAAUAGAAGAUAAUCAAAUUUCUUUCCAUUUAGAUGAGGAUUGAUGUUUGGUGGUGUCAAAGAUUACUCCCACCACGUUGCAGAAAUAAUAGGACCAGGGAGUGAUAUAGUCUUUCAACAAACUUGUGUAUACAUUAACACAAUCAAAACAUGGAGUCAAACCAAAUAAGUCAAAGUUUCCUUCUUCAGAUGCUGCUUUAACACUUCCGCUACAAAAUUGUAAGAGGCUCAACAUUAAGUGCUUUUGUAAGGGUACAUGUGGGGCUAAUUGUGGAUUAAGUUUUUCUGAAAAUGCUUAUAGGAAGGUGGACAACAUGCAAAGGAACAAUUUGAUGAUGAGUCUCUUGAUAAAGAGCAAGCUCAUAAUCAUGAACAAUUGGCGGCCUUUGAUUCAAAACUCAAAUUGAAGAACAUUUGUCAGCCUUUAUCGAUUCAACUUACCCAAUAAUUUGCCAAGUAAUCGACCAAAUAAUUCUUAAUUUUAUGUUUGUAAGCACUUAGUUAAACAUUUGUAGUUGACACCUUGAAUGUGUAUUAUUGGACACAUUUAAUGUAUUA
Molecule: non-coding RNA, 1285 nt
Organism: Lactuca sativa (garden lettuce)
Lineage: Eukaryota; Viridiplantae; Streptophyta; Magnoliopsida; Asterales; Asteraceae
Source: RefSeq, a predicted model, not a curated record